GAUUAACGCUGGCGGCAUGCCUAAUACAUGCAAGUCGAACGGAGGAUACUUCGGUAUCCUUAGUGGCGAACGGGUGAGUAAUACGUAGGUAACCUACCGAUAAGCCGAGGAUAGCCAUUGGAAACGAUGGAUAAUACUGGAUAGGACAUCAUAAUGGGCAUCCAUAGAUGUUUAAAGGAGCGAUCCGCUUAUUGAGGGGCCUGCGGCGCAUUAGCUAGUUGGUGAGAUAAAAGCCCACCAAGGCGAUGAUGCGUAGCCGGACUGAGAGGUUGAACGGCCACAAUGGGACUGAGAACGGCCCAUACUCCUACGGGAGGCAGCAGUAGGGAAUUUUCGGCAAUGGACGAAAGUCUGACCGAGCAAUGCCGCGUGAACGAAGAAGUAUUUCGGUAUGUAAAGUUCUUUUAUUAGGGAAGAAAAGUUAAGAUUGACGGUACCUAAAUGAAUAAGCUCCGGCUAACUACGUG
This 467-nucleotide ribosomal RNA is filed under the name uncultured bacterium. RNAcentral's name for it is "bacterial SSU rRNA". It matches the Rfam family "Bacterial small subunit ribosomal RNA", at positions 28 to 507 of the family's 1533-position model. The record is from RNAcentral.